This 468-nucleotide long non-coding RNA is filed under the name Bemisia tabaci. RNAcentral's name for it is "lncRNA ENSSSA1NGG006637". The record is from RNAcentral. Lineage: Eukaryota; Metazoa; Arthropoda; Insecta; Hemiptera; Aleyrodidae.
GAGUCCGAGUGAUGUGACGUUCGCGUUCCGGUUUGUUCCUCGUGUGUCGGUGUGUGCGUGUGUGCAUUUCCCAGCAUAUUAUCGGCCUCGCGUUUUAAGUGUAUCUGUGUCUAUUUCUCAAUCUAGGAGUCGGAUAUCUGGUCAUAGCUUAUUCCUUUGAUGCGUGCAAUUUUGGCGUUGGUCUGGAUUCAGCCAAAUUUUUUCAGUGCACAGUGCGCAGUGCGGUUUCAGUGAUGGUGUCGUGUCGUGAGUGCUUUCAGCUUGGCGUCGGGCAAUUGGAUAACUCUCAUCUGCUCACGAAGUGAAGGCCCACUACUUCCCUCGAAAUUGGUUUUGGUGGGCGCAAUUCUCUCCAAAAUGAUGACUUUGUCCAGACAGCUCAAAAGAAGAUGGACGCAGCUGUCUCGUAAAUUAGGUAUGUGUAAUUAGGCAUAUACAUUUUUUUCUAAUCAUGCUUAAUUUUGUGUU